Non-coding RNA from Danionella cerebrum, 74 nucleotides. The record is from the annotation of a GenBank genome assembly. Lineage: Eukaryota; Metazoa; Chordata; Actinopteri; Cypriniformes; Danionidae.
GCAAUUGUGGCCUAGUGGAUAGGGUGAUUGACUGGAAAUCAAAAGGUCACUGGUUCGACCAGGAGUCGAAGGUG